CAACAACUGGACUUGUUUCACUUCACCCCAGCACAAACCAUCCUUUGGAAACAGAUGAGGUUCCAUGGUUCAUCAGGACUCUGAUUCCUAAUUGGCUGCGGGAUUGCCUAUAACACUCAAUAACCUGAUUCACAGCAAUAGGAAUGGUUGAAUCUACAUAAUAAAGCAAGUGUGAUGAAAGAUGCUGUUGCACUUCGUAACAAUAAUCAUAUGUUUGUAGUGUCAGGACCAGAAUUUGCCUGUGCCCCUUUGCUGCAAGUGGUGCUCUGGCCACGAAGCCCUGAGGGUGGCCCACCGAUGGCGUUCACAGUGGCAGUGGGUAGGAACCGAGAAACUGCUUCCUGUUCAGAGCCAGGAUUUGCCAGCAGGUCAAGGCUCUGGUGCCCCCAGCACUGCUCCUCCCCAGGGGUGCCCGGCACUCUGACGGCAGCCUCGGGAGCCAGACUUUGCAGCCUGCCGCCUGGGAGAGCUGCCAGUUGAACCUUCACUGUAGAGUAAAAUCAGGUACAAUUG
RNAcentral lists this long non-coding RNA (513 nucleotides) under Dromaius novaehollandiae (emu). Its description in RNAcentral is "lncRNA (ENSDNVG00000011854.1)". The record is from RNAcentral. Lineage: Eukaryota; Metazoa; Chordata; Aves; Casuariiformes; Dromaiidae.